RNAcentral lists this ribosomal RNA (274 nucleotides) under uncultured bacterium. RNAcentral's name for it is "partial 16S ribosomal RNA". It matches the Rfam family "Bacterial small subunit ribosomal RNA", at positions 523 to 796 of the family's 1533-position model. The record is from RNAcentral.
AUACGGAGGGGGUUAGCGUUGUUCGGAAUUACUGGGCGUAAAGCGCACGUAGGCGGAUUGGAAAGUUGGGGGUGAAAUCCCAGGGCUCAACCCUGGAACUGCCUCCAAAACUAACAGUCUAGAGUUCGAGAGAGGUGAGUGGAAUUCCAAGUGUAGAGGUGAAAUUCGUAGAUAUUUGGAGGAACACCAGUGGCGAAGGCGGUUCACUGGCUCGAUACUGACGCUGAGGUGCGAGAGCGUGGGGAGCAAACAGGAUUAGAAACCCUAGUAGUCC